Molecule: long non-coding RNA, 3247 nt
Organism: Mauremys reevesii (Reeves's turtle)
Lineage: Eukaryota; Metazoa; Chordata; Testudines; Geoemydidae
Exons: 3
Source: RefSeq, a predicted model, not a curated record
AGCUCGCUGAAGAGACAGGCCCCGCCGGCAGCGCCUGACUCUGCCUCUGAAUCCACCAGCCCCUCUGAAUAUACCAGCCUCUCCGCCUCUGAAUCUACCAGCCCCUCUGAAUAUACCAGCCUCUCAGCCUCUGAAUCUACCAGCCCCUCUGAAUAUACCAGCCUCUCAGCCUCUGAAUCUACCAGCCCCUCUGAAUUUACUGGCCCCUCAACCUCUGAAUCUACCAGCCCCUCUGAAUAUACCAGCCUCUCAGCCUCUGAAUAUACCAGCCCUUCAUCCUCUGAAUAUACCAGCCCUUCUGAAUAUACCAACCCCUCCUCAGCCUCUGAAUAUAGCAGCCCUUCUGACUAUACCAGCCUCUCAGCCUCUGAAUAUACCAGUCCCUCAACCUCAGCACAUGGAUAUACUUCUGAAUAUACCAGUUCCUUUGCCUCUGGAUAUGCAAGCUCCCCUGCUGCCAGGAAUACAAACACGCCUGAAUAUGCAAGCCCUGGUCUCUCUGGGUAUGCAACCUCUGGAUAUGGGAGCCCUGCUGCCCGUGGAUACAAAAACCGCUCCACAACUGGCAAUGCAAAUGUCUCUGGCUAUGCAGACCCUACAGCAUCUGGCCAUGCAAGCUUCCCUGCCUCUGGAUAUUCUAAGCCUCUGGAUAUGGGAAAUCCACCUGAAUAUGGGAACCGGUCCAGCCUAGACUAUGAAACCCCUACAAAACACACAGGGCUUGUGAGGCUCAGCACUUGUAGUGACCUCAGAAGGUGCAAGGGGGAUUGUAUGUGCUGGAGCGAUAAGAAAAAGCCAUAAAGACCCAAUGGAAUAUACGUGUGACCCUUUAAAGGGCAGGUGUCUUACGGCUUGGCAUUGUGUGUGUGCUUAAACUCGGGUAUGACUCAGACUGCGACCUUCUGAGCAAAUGAAAAAAUAUUUCUCGUGAGCCUGAUUGACAUGUUAAAGGGGACAUUGUCAGGGUUACAAAAGUGAUGCAGUAAAUAAAAGCCACAAAUAUCCUAUAGUUGGGUGCCAGUAAUGCUUAAGUUUAUUAAAACAGAGUUGUAAAACCAUCUAAUUCACUCUCCACCGCAGAUGUGGUUUGCUUUAUUUUCCUGCUCUUCACUCAUCAGGGCAAAUGGAAACAGACUAAGGCCUUGUUGCUGCAGGCAGAUCCUAUGGUGGUGAGGUUGUGCAUGGAUGGAUCUAACUAUUAUCAUUUGUAUCAAGAUACCACAUAGAGGCCCUGACUAAGAUCAGGGCUGCAUUGUGUUGGGUGCUCGCUAGAUGCAUAGUCAGAGACGCACCGUGGCCCACUCUUCCCAUUUUACAGAAGGGAGCUGAAACAGAGAGAUUAAGUGAUUUUCCCAAGGUCACCCAGGAAGACAGUGUCAGAGCCAGGCCUUGAACCUACAUCACCUGAGUCCCAGGUCAACCUCUUAAUCACAAGGUUAGGAUUUGGCUUUAGGAGACCAUCUCUGCAACUUGUUUUGUGCAGGACACCUUUGUGAUGUCAGUGGGACUCCAGAUCUACUGGGACCCCAUAUCAGGGGCUUAGUCAGUUUCACUUGUUUCUAGCCAGUGUCUUGUCAGUUUCACCUCUCUGCCUGCCACCUGCUGUAGGAAAAGGCUGCUGUGUUUGAGUUGCAGGGACUGUUCACGUCCAAGCACAAUAGAAGUUAUACGAAUAAAAAUAAAUUCUAUGUUAAUUUAGGUUUUAGAAAACUUUUUUUUUUUAAACAACCCUCGUAUUUAUGUGAGUGACAGUGAGAUGACAGGGCCUGAUUUACUGAAACCAACUGGCUUCAAUGGACUGUUUUGGUUCAGGUAUGAAAUCACACCUUGCGAUGACCCAAGAACUAAUAACCUGAAUCCGAACCUUCUGGAACCUUUGAGGGUGAGAGGGUUCAAAACUCCCAAUUCCGUGGUUUCUAACCACCACUAAACCACAUAGAGUGAAACUCCUUCGUUCUAGGAGAGGGAUCCUUUAAUCAUGGCCUUAGGAGAGAACUCAAGUGAGGAUGUUCCCUCUUCAAAGCCAUGAGCCUACAAGCAUGUGUGGGACUUUAUUCUUGUGAGUAGUCCCAUUAAAGUCCAUGGGAUUGUCCAUGCAAGUAAAAUCACACACAUGUUUAAGCGUUUGCAGGACUGGGGUCUUUAUUGCAGGAAGUGUUACGGUUCUUAAACAAGUCAAUGAGCGGUUAGACCCUGUAGCGGGGCAGUCACUCCGCUCCGGCUCAGAAAGAGUUCAAAGCCAGCCCUUGGAGUGGGCUGGGGCUGAAAGCAGCCGAGGGAGGCUGAUUGGAUUGGCAGCUGCAGGUGUGGCCACACCCAAUUAGGGUCCAGCUGGCCCUGAUAAAAGGGCUGGGAGCUAGGUAGGGGGAGUCUUAGUCCAGUAGUGGAGUGGGAAGGACCUGGCUAGAGAAGGGUAUCUUGAACAGAGCAGUGCUGGGGAAGGAUAGGCUGAGCUGGGGAACUCUGGCCAGGUGUUCCAGCUGUGACACAGGGCGAGGAGUUGCAGUGACGCCUCACGCCGCCGGGGGAUCAGACAGCUCGGUUUCCGUGGAAGACAAUGGAGUUAUACCAAGCAUGAACCUGGCCUGAUAAACAUAGGAACAACCGAAUGGAUCACUCCCAACGUCCACCUAGUCCAAUCCUGUCUGUGACAGUGGCCAGCCGCAUGGUCAGAGGAAGGUGUAAGAACCUUCCAUUUCUUUAGAUCUUCAGAGCAAGCCUGUCUGCCUGUCUGGAAGAGACGCGUUAGCCAAACCCAAGUUCUUGGGCUCAGUUCUGCGGUGACUGGGUGGAAUUUAAAGGCCUGUGUUAUAUGAUCUGACCUUAAACUCUAUGAAUUAAACUCUGUGCAACCUCUGCAGUAGGCAGAUGGGGGAUUAUCUGUCCCCUACGUAGAUCUCAUGCUGAUUUUUAAUAGGUCUCAGCUUCAGCCCUGGAGCAUGAGAGAUUCCUUCCAGAAUUUGCUGUCAUUAAUUAUGAAAGCUCCGUCUACUCCUGAUACCCACAUAAAUGUCCAAUCCCUGAUACACACUUAAUACAAACCAGUGGAUCAUGUCUAAUGACCACAUACAGCCCCCAUGGCCUGUUUCAAGGACUUAUUCAGAAAUAAGAGAACCCAGGUCUCUUGUCACCCAGUUCAGCGCUCUAUCCACUGCACUGUGCUGCCUCUGAUUUCAUAGCAUACUACGCACACUUUGUAUACGUGUGCAUGCAGAACUGCCACCCCCAAGUGUUCAAAAUGCAUCAG